Molecule: non-coding RNA, 1329 nt
Organism: Gasterosteus aculeatus aculeatus (three-spined stickleback)
Lineage: Eukaryota; Metazoa; Chordata; Actinopteri; Perciformes; Gasterosteidae
Source: RefSeq, a predicted model, not a curated record
CGCUCCCCGGCGAACCGCUCGGUGUUACGUAACGUGAGCGGUGCACAGUCUGCCGACGAUGCAGUCUUAGUUGUAAGUAAAACAGCAUCAAUAAUACAGACGCCUGUACACUUUAAGUGGCACUUAAAUGUCUUGGAUGAUUACCUACCCUGCAUCUCUCUGCUCCAGUGUACUAAAUAAUGGAAACCCCCAAACGACAGAGUACAGCUGCUGCUUGGCCUCCUACCUGCCUGUUGAGAUGUCUGUGGGCACCAAAAGAAGCUGUUAACGCCUAAAUAGCUGUGUUAAAAGCAGUAUGAGUGAUUUAACAGAGUUCGAAAGAUGCCAAAUAGUUGCUGCACGACUAUCGGGUGCAUCCGUCACAAAAACUGCACAGCUGUUCAACGUGGCGAGGGGAACGGUCUCCAGAGUCAUGACCGUGUACAUCAAGCACGGACAAACGGCGUCCGCUAAGAAGAACAGCGGGCGCAAGUCAAAGCUCACUGAAAAGGAUAGACAGACACUUCUCAGGAUAGUUGAUGAGCACCCAGAGUAUACAGCCUCAAAAAUAACCUCGGAGCUGAACAGACAGCUCUCUCACACCGUGUCAGUAAAAACGAUCCGCCGGGAGCUUCACAAAGCCGGUGUUUUUAGAGGAGCAGCCAGUCGGAAAACGGAGGCUGAGACUCACUCAAGGAAGCCGGAUGGAAAGGAUACUAAACCUGGAACUGAAAAAGAGAUUGGCACUCAAAAAACUUGUGAAGAGAGGACGAGACCUGAAAGGCAAACAAAUGACAAAGAGUGGGGGACACAAAAGUCGGUGGAAGACAUACCUGUGUCUGAACCUCAUGCUAGUGUCAAAGAAUACUACACAGGAGAGAGGAUCCAACCUGAAUCCAACGUUGGUGAGGAAGAGUACAGCACAACAAAGCUGAGUGAAGAGAGCACGGGACCUCGGGCCCGUGUACCAGACCCGUGUGUUGUAUUUCUGCCUUUCUAAGACGGCCUCAUUGGUCAUGUUAAGGGAAAAUCAUCCCUUAUUUUGACCACUGUUACAUGUGACACUGGGUUUGGACUUAUAUUUCAGUUUCUAGAUUUUAGUAUUUAUUUCUGCAUGAAUGCAUAACUGUGCAGAAUUCUAACUUAUCACAUGCUUUUUUUCAUAUUCCUGUGUUACAAGUGAAUGGUACAUUUGAAUUUACAAUGUAGAGGGAAGUAUUCAGUACUAAAAAACACAAGUACAAUACAUGAGACUUUUGGUUCACACCGCUGCUGUAUUCUGUUGCUUUUUACUGCUGUAUAUCGGUAUGAUUGUUGUUACAUUAAAGGUUUUUGGUUGAAUCGUCAGAA